Molecule: non-coding RNA, 142 nt
Filed under: Danio rerio (zebrafish)
Lineage: Eukaryota; Metazoa; Chordata; Actinopteri; Cypriniformes; Danionidae
Description: Eukaryotic large subunit ribosomal RNA
Rfam family: Eukaryotic large subunit ribosomal RNA
Source: Rfam by way of RNAcentral
GAUAACUGGCUUGGAAUAGCCAAGUGUUUAUAGCAACGCCACUGUUUGAUCCUUCGAUGUCGGCUCUUCCUAUCAUUGUGAAGCAGAAUUCACCAAGUGUUAUAUUGUUCACCCAUUGGAAGCUGGGUUUAGAUCGUCGGUU